UCCUACGGGGGGCAGCAGUGAGGAAUAUUGCGCAAUGGGCGAAAGCCUGACGCAGCAACGCCGCGUGAGGGACGAAGGCCUUCGGGUCGUAAACCUCUUUUCUGAGGGACGAGCAAGGACGGUACCUCAGGAAUAAGUCUCGGCUAACUACGUGCCAGCAGCCGCGGUAAAACGUAGGAGGCGAGCGUUAUCCGGAUUUACUGGGCGUAAAGCGCACGCAGGCGGCUCGGCAAGUUGGACGUGAAAGCUCCUGGCUUAACUGGGAGAGGCCGUUCGAGACUACCGGGCUUGAGGUUGGGAGAGGGGUGUGGAAUUCCCGGUGUAGUGGUGGAAUGCGUAGAGAUCGGGAGGAACACCUGUGGCGAAAGCGGCACCCUGGCCCACACCUGACGCUGAGGUGCGAAAGCGUGGGGAGUAAACAGGAUUAGAUACCCCGGU
RNAcentral lists this ribosomal RNA (438 nucleotides) under uncultured bacterium. RNAcentral's name for it is "bacterial SSU rRNA". It matches the Rfam family "Bacterial small subunit ribosomal RNA", at positions 337 to 791 of the family's 1533-position model. The record is from RNAcentral.